RNAcentral lists this long non-coding RNA (321 nucleotides) under Carica papaya (papaya). RNAcentral's name for it is "long non-coding RNA (CPAP_LNC016389)". Lineage: Eukaryota; Viridiplantae; Streptophyta; Magnoliopsida; Brassicales; Caricaceae. The record is from RNAcentral.
UAUUUUAAUAAGACAAAAUUGGUGUAUGACAAGUCCAUUCCGUGUAUUUUUCUUAGCUGUGACGAUAUAGAGCUUGGGUGUAAGUUACUAAAUCUAGUAAAAAAAGGUUGUAUGUUGAGAUGCAGUGUUUUAAGAGCAUGAAACUCUACCUAAAUUAAGGAAGAUUAAAAAGUCAAGCACCAACAUUUGAGUUAAUUCUUUACUAGCGAUUAAGUAUACACAAGUGAGGAGUUGAAUGAAAAACAUGAUACUGAUAUUGAGACAGUAAUAGCUGAUGUAAGUGAUGCAAAAGAAGAUAGUUGUGCAUUUGGUUAGUUCGGU